GCUUAACGCGAAGAACCUUACCAAGGCUUGACAUACACGAGAACGGGCCAGAAAUGGUCAACUCUUUGGACACUCGUGAACAGGUGGUGCAUGGUUGUCGUCAGCUCGUGUCGUGAGAUGUUGGGUUAAGUCCCGCAACGAGCGCAACCCUCGUCGCAUGUUGCCAGCACGUUAUGGUGGGGACUCAUGUGAGACUGCCGGGGUCAACUCGGAGGAAGGUGGGGAUGACGUCAAAUCAUCAUGCCCCUUAUGUCUUGGGCUUCACGCAUGCUACAAUGGCCGGUACAAAGGGCUGCGAUGUCGUAAGGCGGAGCGAAUCCCAAAAAGCCGGUCUCAGUUCGGAUUGAGGUCUGCAACUCGACCUCAUGAAGUCGGAGUCGCUAGUAAUCGCAGAUCAGCAACGCUGCGGUGAAUACGUUCCCGGGUCUUGUACACACCG
Molecule: ribosomal RNA, 439 nt
Filed under: uncultured bacterium
Lineage: Bacteria
Description: bacterial SSU rRNA
Rfam family: Bacterial small subunit ribosomal RNA
Source: RNAcentral